GAUGAAGAACGUAGCGAAAUGCGAUAAGUAAUGUGAAUUGCAGAAUUCCGUGAAUCAUCGAAUCUUUGAACGCACAUUGCGCCCCCUGGCAUUCCGGGGGGCAUGCCUGUCCGAGCGUCAUUUCUGCCCUCCAGCCCGGCUGGGUGUUGGGCGCUGUCCCCCCGGGGACACGCCCCAAAGGCAGUGGCGGCGCCGCGUCGGGUCCUCGAGCGUAUGGGGCUUUGUCACCCGCUCGGGACGGACUCGUCGGCGCUGGUCUUCCUCCAGGCGACCCUUCGGGGCUCGUCUUCCUUCGGUUGACCUCGGAUCAGGUAGGGUUACCCGCUGAACUUAAGCAUAUCAAUAAGCGGA
Molecule: unclassified non-coding RNA, 351 nt
Filed under: soil metagenome
Description: partial contains 5.8S ribosomal RNA, internal transcribed spacer 2, and large subunit ribosomal RNA
Rfam family: 5.8S ribosomal RNA (bases 1-120)
Source: RNAcentral